UUUAGGUUAGGAUAAUGAAAUCUGUUAGCUUUAGGAGCUGAAAAUGGUGAGUUUACCACUUUUUGCGU
RNAcentral lists this transfer RNA (68 nucleotides) under Phallusia fumigata. Its description in RNAcentral is "transfer RNA-Leu (CUN)". The record is from RNAcentral. Lineage: Eukaryota; Metazoa; Chordata; Ascidiacea; Phlebobranchia; Ascidiidae.